UGCGGGCGCGUGCUGGCCGCGUCGGGUGCGUCAUUCCCGUAGCUAGCAUGUGCAUGUGUUGGUCGUGGCCGUGGUGAGUGGAGUCUCCGAGCCGGCCGAGUCUCUGUGCGGCAGUUCCUGCAUGUGUGGUGCGUGGGAGCUGCGUCUCCGCAGCCUACAAAGCCGGCCAUUUCCAGGUUGUUAGCAGCGUGCAUGUAGCUAGGUAGUUAGUGCAUGGGUUAGUGGCCGAUCUGGCGUGCAUGCCUCUAGGUAUUAAAGUGGCCACGGUGCUGGUGUGUAGGUGUGCCAGAGAAGAGAGAUGUAGCCUCUCAGUGUAUGUGUGCUCGCCGUGAGGGUGUGUGUGUUGAGUUCGAGCUCAAGGAAAGCGUUCGUGCGCUGGCAAACCCUCCCCGUGUCCUUCCUCGUCCUGUUGUCUUCGUCCUCCUCGUGUCGUUUGAGCGCAGCAGCGAGGGAGAGCGUGUGUGGGCUAGCGAGGGAGAAGGCCACGGUAACAACAAUUGGUAUCGGAGCAUCGGGUUCGGAGGAGCUCGCCGGCGAUGGCGCUCGUCCCGUGCGGCGGCGGAGCACGGUGACGCCGUGCGUAGGGGGAGCGCGGCAGCCGCGGCGGACCUGCGCGGUGGCGCAGAGGCUACGGUGGCGCGGUGCGGCUCGGCGGAGGGAAAGCCAAGCUCCGGGACACGCCGGAUCGGGCGCGUUGGUCGCGUCGGAGCGCGAUCAUGGCGCGGGCUGGUGGCGUGCGGAGCGUGGCAAAACAAGCCGCGGCGACGGGCUCACCGCAUCGGGCGCGUGUAUGGGCGCGUGCCAGACGUAGCGGGCAGAUCGGGACCGCGGGUGCGGACCACGUCGGGGCGCUGGACCUGGUGCGCAUAUCGCGUACGUGCGCGGCGGGAACGCGAGGACGUGGGGUGUGCGCGGCGAAGGGCACGGCGGCACGGUAGCAGGCGUGGCAGCGACGUCGGGGCGGUGGCGGCUACAACGACGUCGACCGCGCGGCGGAGCGCGCGCUGCGGGCGGACGGCAGGGUCGAGGACGUCGGUCUCCAAUAGGCCACGGCUUAGGGGGAGAGUGUUGGCCGCUGUAAGCCGCGGCGUGUGCGGGCGCGCGCUGCCGCGUCGGGUGCGUCAUUCCCGUAGCUAACAUGUGCAUGUGUUGGUCGUGGCCGUAGUGAGUGGAUUCUCCGAGCCGGCCGAGUCUCUGUGCGGCAGUUCCUGCAUGUGUGUUGCGUGGGAGCUGUGUCUCCGCAGGCUACAAAGCCAGCCAUUUCCAGGUUGUUAGCAGCGUGCAUGUAGCUAGGUAGUUAGUGCAUGAGUUAGUGGCCGAUCUGGCGUACGUGCCUCUGGGUAUUAAAGUGGCCACAGUGCUGGUGUGUAGGUGCGCCAGAGAAGAGAGAUGUAGCCUCUCAGUGUAUGUGUGCUCGCCGUGAGGGUGUGUGUG
RNAcentral lists this long non-coding RNA (1434 nucleotides) under Triticum aestivum (bread wheat). RNAcentral's name for it is "long non-coding RNA (TAES_LNC027174)". Lineage: Eukaryota; Viridiplantae; Streptophyta; Magnoliopsida; Poales; Poaceae. The record is from RNAcentral.